UUAAAUUUUAUACAAAUAUUAUUCAUUUUUGUAGUAAAGUAGUAAAGUAUGAAGUACUAUGUUUUAUGUUUCAUUUAUGUUUCAAUAGAGAGCUAUCAUAUAUCAACAUAUGUUGUUGUUUUUGUUGUUGCUGUUGUUGUUGUUUUUAGGCGGAUUUACAAAUUAAAAACAAAGAUAGGAAAUUAGGAUAAAUAAUAAAAACGAAAUUCCAAGACACAUAGAAAGAAAUUGGUACAUCCAGGAAUUUCAGACAUUAGCACAAUAUUUACAUUUCUUGAUGACUCACGCUGUGUUUGGAGAAUCUACAACAAUGGGGAACUAAUCAAUUUUAAGAAGAAAACUUGUUUUUUAAUAUAGUUAACGAUGUUUUAAAUUUAUCUUAACAUUCGUCUGGUAAAGAGGAAACAUGGUAUGAUGUUACUGGUAGCUACAGGAUGUAUGCACUGUUUAACUUAAACAUCAUAUAAAUGUUAGAUGAAGCAUAAUGAGGUAACCUAAACAAACCAAACUUAAUUUCCGAAUGAAAUAUAACAUUAUGGUAUAUGAAAGUUGAUAAACCAAAUUAUAUUUUAAAAUAUUUUACUUCGUAUCAAACUUAGUUCGAUUUUAAUAAACAUUUUAUUUCGCAUAAAUCGCAUUUGACAAUCUGUUAGGUAUUUGGUGAACUUAAAAGUGGAAUAUAUUAAGUGUAAAAUAAUAAUAUUAUGGAAUUAAAAUACAUGUGUAAAUAUGAAAUCCAAAAUAUUAUUUUCAUGAAAGAAGUAAGUCAAGGGAUGUGACUGCAAAAAUACCGCAGACAUGGAAUUUAAGGCGACUAUAUCACUAAUAUUAGUGAUAUUAAACAUAGGAAGGCAACAUGUGUUUUCACCGGUGCCUACCGACAACUUACAGUUUCGGCGGGAAAAUUGUGAAUGGGGGUGCGAUUCAAACAUUGAUACAAAAUUGAGACUUUGUGAGACACUUUGUCAUCUAGAAACUGUUAACAACAAAUAUCAACAUGAUCAUGAAACUCAAUGUCAAGAAAUCUGUGCAAUAAAAUAUUUAAAAUGCUUGGAAGGAUGUAAAAAUAUUAUGAGCAACAUGGAGAGCUAACCAAAAUACAGUAACACUGUACUUGAAAAGUAACAUGUGAUUUAGAAAUAAUGAAAGGCAUUUGUAAAUAUGCAAUUAUCUAAAAACUUAAUUUAUGAACACUCCACAUGUUUAAUUGGAAAAUAAAAGGGAGGUUAUUUUAAGAGGUUCAAAAUAUGUAAAACAUAUACAUAGAUUUAAAUAAUAAUUAAUAAGUACAAUUUACAUGUUGUAAUUGCAAAAUAAAUUAACAUUCGUUGUUCCGGUUUUAAUUCUUUUAAUUCCUCUUUUAAAUGAAAAAAAUUUUAACAGCCAUACAAAUCAUCACAUACUGCAAGAUGAAGUGCAGGAAAAUUAUUUUGUAAUAUAAAAAAUAAAAUGAUAGCAAAUGUUCUUUUUUCUAAAUUAAUGUCAAUUUCUUUUUGCUACUUUAUACUUGUAUUAGUCUUGAUCUUUGUUACUGUGAAUAGUGUUUAAACAUGUUUUCGAAAUGCUUAAGAGAAGCGCAGUUUCUUAUGUUAACAGAACUUGUUGUUCAACCAUUUUAUCACUUCACCGCUCAUAUCUUUGUAUAUAUAUUGCUGUAUAUUUCAAAGCUAAACAUAUUAUACAUUUAUAUUUCCUAACUGUUAUUUGUGCAAAAUGUGCAACAUACAAGAAUAAGCUUUAUUAAAAAUACACAUAUUUCAAAGUUUCGAUGUCUUGGUGUCUUAUAGUUAAAUUUAAAUUUAACAACAAGACCACUUUUCAGAAACAACUAAUUUUUGUCAUUCUAAUAUAUGAACUAUAACCUAUACUUGAAAUUUGUUUAUCCUCAACAACAUGAUAUCUGUUUUUUAUUGAGAAAGUUUUUUGUCAUUGUCAUAUUUUUACAUAUAUAUAAAAUAACAUUUUAAAAAAAUGAAUUAUGAAUAUCUUUUCGCUAAUUUAUUACAAGUUUAUAUAAGUAAUUAUAUUGUAUUAAUCAAUAUAAUAUAUCAUUAUGUGAUUAUAUUUACACGUCAAAAUAAAAUUAUACUCUGUUCCGUC
Long non-coding RNA from Ruditapes philippinarum (Manila clam), 2100 nucleotides. RefSeq lists it as uncharacterized. The record is from RefSeq and is a predicted model, not a curated record. The transcript is spliced from 2 exons. Lineage: Eukaryota; Metazoa; Mollusca; Bivalvia; Venerida; Veneridae.